GUAGGUGGCAAGCGUUGUCCGGAAUUAUUGGGCGUAAAGCGCGCGCAGGCGGUUCUUUAAGUCUGAUGUGAAAGCCCACGGCUCAACCGUGGAGGGUUCAUUGGAAACUGGAGGAACUUGAGUACAGAAGAGGAAAGCGGAAUUCCACGUGUAGCGGUGAAAUGCGUAGAGAUGUGGAGGAACACCAGUGGCGAAGGCGGCUUUCUGGUCCGUAACUGACGCUGAGGCGCGAAAGCGUGGGGAGCAAACAGGGAUUAGAUACCCUGGUAGUCCACGCCGUAAACGAUGAGUGCUAAGUGUUAGGGGGGUUUCCGCCCCCUUAGUGCUGCAGCUAACGCAUUAAGCACUCCGCCUGGGGAGUACGGCCGCAAGGCUG
RNAcentral lists this ribosomal RNA (376 nucleotides) under uncultured organism. RNAcentral's name for it is "partial 16S ribosomal RNA". It matches the Rfam family "Bacterial small subunit ribosomal RNA", at positions 527 to 896 of the family's 1533-position model. The record is from RNAcentral.